GCCAGGCAUGGUGGUGCACGCCUGUAAUCCCAGCAACUCGGGAGGCUGAGGCAGGAGGAUUGCAAAUUCAAGGCCAGCAUGAGUAAGUUAGUGAGGAUCUAAGCAACUCAGCAAGACCUUGUCUCAA
RNAcentral lists this small RNA (127 nucleotides) under Marmota monax (woodchuck). Lineage: Eukaryota; Metazoa; Chordata; Mammalia; Rodentia; Sciuridae. The record is from RNAcentral.